AGAGUUUGAUCCUGGCUCAGGAUGAACGCUAGCGGCAGGCCUAAUACAUGCAAGUCGAACGGAUGUAGCAAUACAUUAGUGGCGCACGGGUGCGUAACACGUAACUAACCUACCCAUCAUUGGGGGAUAGCCCGCCGAAAGGCGGAUUAAUACCGCAUAAGCUAAUAAGGUGGCAUCACCUAGUUAUUAAAGAUUUAUCGGGNNNNNNNNNNGUUGCGGGUCAUUAGCUAGUUGGUAAGGUAACGGCUUACCAAGGCGACGAUGACUAGGGGAGCUGAGAGGCUGGUCCCCCACACGGGCACUGAGAUACGGGCCCGACUCCUACGGGAGGCAGCAGUAGGGAAUAUUGGGCAAUGGGCGAGAGCCUGACCCAGCCAUGCCGCGUGCAGGAAGAAGGCUUUCUGAGUCGUAAACUGCUUUUGACAGGGAAGAAUAAGCACUACGCGUAGUGUGAUGACGGUACCUGCAGAAUAAGCACCGGCUAACUCCGUGCCAGCAGCCGCGGUAAUACGGAGGGUGCGAGCGUUGUCCGGAUUUAUUGGGUUUAAAGGGUGCGUAGGCGGCCUUAUAAGUCCGGGGUGAAAGCCCGUUGCUCAACAACGGAACUGCCCUGGAUACUGUGAGGCUUGAGUACAGACGAGGUUGGCGGAAUGGACCGAGUAGCGGUGAAAUGCAUAGAUACGGUCCAGAACCCCGAUUGCGAAGGCAGCUGACUAGGCUGUUACUGACGCUGAGGCACGACAGCGUGGGGAGCGAACAGGAUUAGAUACCCUGGUAGUCCACGCCGUAAACGAUGGAUACUCGCUGCGAGCUAAAGAUUGUUCGUGGCUUAGGGAAACCGAUAAGUAUCCCACCUGGGGAGUACGCCGGCAACGGUGAAACUCAAAGGAAUUGACGGGGGCCCGCACAA
RNAcentral lists this ribosomal RNA (910 nucleotides) under Hemileia vastatrix HvCat. RNAcentral describes it as "bacterial SSU rRNA". It matches the Rfam family "Bacterial small subunit ribosomal RNA", at positions 8 to 928 of the family's 1533-position model. The record is from RNAcentral. Lineage: Eukaryota; Fungi; Basidiomycota; Pucciniomycetes; Pucciniales; Zaghouaniaceae.